GGAAACGGAUAGAGCUAGCGUAUCUGUCCUGCAUUCAGCCACUUGGCAUUGGCGCCCGCGUAGCCGGCGGCCCCAGAUUGGGACGGUUACGCUGGGCAAUGUUGGUGCCGAGUGGUGCAUUUGUAGGUGGAGUGCGCCGAGGCGUUCGGGGCAGCGGUGUGAGCUUAGCUUUGAGGCCAGCUUGCUGGUACCCGGGCUGGGGGAGCAUUGUUUGCCUUGGGCGUUUAUAGAGGGAGUAUGGCUUACGAGCUCGGGUUGGUGUCGAGCUGARAGUCGGCGGCGGUCGCAGGCGACACGUGCUGUGCUAUUAGUUCGGUCCUGCUCGAGCUCACAUGCUCGCUCUCGGUGUAAAAGCUGGUCAUCUUUCCGACCCGUCUUGAAACACGGACCAAGGAGUUUAUCGUGUGCGCGAGUCAUUGGGCGUUGAAAACCCAAAGGCGCAAUGAAAGUGAAUGCUCCGCAAGGAGCUUACGUGCGAUCCUGGGCACCGCGGUGUCCGGGCGCAGCAUGGCCCCAUCCUGACUGCUUGCAGUGGGGUGGCGGAAGAGCGUACGCGGUGAGACCCGAAAGAUGGUGAACUAUUCCUGAGCAGGAUGAAGCCAGAGGAAACUCUGGUGGAAGU
This 622-nucleotide ribosomal RNA is filed under the name unidentified. RNAcentral describes it as "Pratylenchus sp. P25_D2A_F05_3730XL partial large subunit ribosomal RNA". The record is from RNAcentral.